Molecule: long non-coding RNA, 370 nt
Organism: Gopherus evgoodei (Goodes thornscrub tortoise)
Lineage: Eukaryota; Metazoa; Chordata; Testudines; Testudinidae
Exons: 3
Source: RefSeq, a predicted model, not a curated record
CCAUGGCAGAGUUUGUUUACUCAGGGCCUUCCUGUAUCUCUCCUCCCGUGUCCUUGUGGCAAGCAAGGAAGGUGGGAGUGACCACACCGGGCAGGACUGUGGAGGGUGGGGCCCUUCAUGCUGGUGACCUACAUGUCAGAGAGCCGGUGAGAAAACAUGUUCGAGGGUGGCCAGCGUUUCCAGCUGUGAAAUCAGGCACUUGUAGCCAUGGGAGGGAGUGUGAAAGGAAGGCUGUGCACACACUGGGCGUGGGUCUUAUCAGCCAAGAGUGACGCUGGAUGCGGGGCAGGUGGGGAGGAUGUGGCGUCUGUGCACUGUCUCUUUAAAUUUGAAGCCGGAACCCAGGCAAGAUCUCUGCAGUGAAGAAGAG